This is a long non-coding RNA of Anneissia japonica, 1468 nucleotides long. RefSeq lists it as uncharacterized. Lineage: Eukaryota; Metazoa; Echinodermata; Crinoidea; Comatulida; Comatulidae. The transcript has 2 exons. The record is from RefSeq and is a predicted model, not a curated record.
GCGCAGAUAAACGAGGUCUCUAUGCACUCGGGACUAGAUGUUGCACUUGUCAAUAACUUUCUCAGUCCCCUGAGGGUCACUUCAUGUCCACUGCAGCCAGUAAACUGGCGCACUUUCAUCUGUCAUGAAAUACUCCUUUCAGUGUGUGUGUUCCAAAGCUGUUUAAUCCAAUGACCGGGCUUAGCAAUAUGCACUAUAUAGGUUUAUAUGCAUCAUUAUUAUUAUUAUUAUAAACAAAUAAAAAAAGACAAGCUAAACAAAACUAUAACUAUUUAUUUGAUUAUCAAUCAAUCAACAAAUAUAUUAUGUAUAGCGCCAAUAUCUAAGACAGGAUGCAAAGUUCAGUGGCACUAUGACACUACUGAGGAUAGUUAACUAUACUAUUGUUGUAAGAUUACGAAAAAAUGAAAUAAAAAUAACAAUGACGUGUGUCAAAAAACGUAGUAUGCGAAGGAGAAUAGAUACAAUUUUAACUUUUUCUGACAGAAAGAUGAGGUUUUAAUCUCAAGAGGUAAGGGCAUUCCAUAAUGUAGGGGCGGCACACGAGAAAUUACUUUUACCAUAGAGAAAAUAGAAUUCUUUAUGCUUUCACUUAGGUGUUUAUGUCUCCACCUGAAUUCCCCAAGAAGGUGCUUGUUGAAUGUUCAAAGAAAGCGAGGAGAAGACUUAGGUUGGAGGAGAUUGGGUAAUGAAAAUAAUUCAGAAUCUUAAUGUUAAUAUAAAUUGGUUGGUGUCACAGAGUGGACCUUAUAAUGCGUUACACUCACUGUAUAGUGCAUCAGCGUAAUAAAUAUUCAUGAUUUAAUGGUUGUGUUCAUUGUGUAGAAUCAGUAUAAUGAAUAUACAUGAGUUAAUGGUUGAUUUAGCAUUACUCCAGGGUAGUUGAAAGUUUUAUGAAUAUGAAUAACUUUUAGGCAAGUGGCAACUUCUGAUAAGUGUAGAGAAAAUGGGUGGGGGAAUAUUAUGUUAAUUUGUGUUAGCAGGGGUAGGCUUGAUAGAGAAACCAGAAGGGAGAGGUAGUUGCAUAAGGAAAGGCUUAAUGGAAGGGUGUAAGCUGUGGAAUAUGAUUCAAGCAGGGACAUGUCAGUUAUUAAGGUGCACCAAAGAUUAAGCAAAGUUAAGAGGCAUAGUGAAGCCUACCUAAAUGAUAUAUGGUGAUAGCUAGGAGCAUCACAGUAUUGUGCAACUCAUAUAUAAGAGCCAAGUGGAGUUAGUUUGACCAUGGUCAGAGGAGUACAGCUUGAACUUCAACGACAGGCUUAAAACUUAAGAAGAAAUUGAAGGUUUCAAGCAGCUGAAGUAAGAGCUGAUAUUUAUUUCAUUCAGAACCAACUUGUGUGGUGUGACAAGUAGUGACCCAGGAGAACGUCACAUGUUUGGCUUCUCAUCUGUAUAUAGCGCAGGGUAUUAUGAUGCGAACUGAAUGUUCGACAUAUUAUUUUAUUAAACACCUUAUUUGAAUUUAUAA